Molecule: ribosomal RNA, 465 nt
Filed under: Vreelandella stevensii
Lineage: Bacteria; Pseudomonadati; Pseudomonadota; Gammaproteobacteria; Oceanospirillales; Halomonadaceae
Description: partial 16S ribosomal RNA
Rfam family: Bacterial small subunit ribosomal RNA
Source: RNAcentral
CCUACGGGGGGCUGCAGUGGGGAAUAUUGGACAAUGGGCGAAAGCCUGAUCCAGCCAUGCCGCGUGUGUGAAGAAGGCCUUCGGGUUGUAAAGCACUUUCAGUGGGGAAGAAAGCCUUGGGGCUAAUACCCUCGAGGAAGGACAUCACCUACAGAAGAAGCACCGGCUAACUCCGUGCCAGCAGCCGCGGUAAUACGGAGGGUGCGAGCGUUAAUCGGAAUUACUGGGCGUAAAGCGCGCGUAGGCGGUCUGAUAAGCCGGUUGUGAAAGCCCCGGGCUCAACCUGGGAACGGCAUCCGGAACUGUCAGGCUAGAGUGCAGGAGAGGAAGGUAGAAUUCCCGGUGUAGCGGUGAAAUGCGUAGAGAUCGGGAGGAAUACCAGUGGCGAAGGCGGCCUUCUGGACUGACACUGACGCUGAGGUGCGAAAGCGUGGGUAGCAAACAGGAUUAGAUACCCCAGUAGUC